Molecule: ribosomal RNA, 382 nt
Filed under: uncultured eukaryote
Lineage: Eukaryota
Description: partial 18S ribosomal RNA
Rfam family: Eukaryotic small subunit ribosomal RNA
Source: RNAcentral
UGUAAGCGUAUACCAAAGUUGUUGCAGUUAAAACGCUCGUAGUCGGAAUUUGGCAGUUCCGGAUGUGUGCACGUCGUGUGCGCACUUCGCGGGGAUUGCUUUUGUGGUCUUGCGUAGGAUGAGGCACUUUUAUUAGUGAACGUCCUCACGCAACCACUUUUUACUGUGAGAAAAUCAGAGUGCCCAAAGCAGGCAUUUGCCGUGAAUGUAUUAGCAUGGAAUAAUAGAAUAGGACAUGGUUCUAUUUUGUUGGUUUGUUGGGACUGAGUAAUGAUUAAGAGGGACAGUUGGGGGCAUUUGUAUUUCGGUGCUAGAGGUGAAAUUCUUAGAUUACCGAAAGACAAACUGCUGCGAAAGCGUCUGCCAAGGAUGUUUUCAUUGA